CAAAAGCUUGGUCCUGACUUUUCUAUCAGCUUUGGCUAAGUUUACACAUGCAAGUCUCCGCACCCCUGUGAAAAAGCCCUAGACUACCCCAACCGGGAGCAAGGAGCUGGUAUCAGGCACCGAUCACUUCCAGCCUAAGACGCCUUGCCUAGCCACACCCCCAAGGGAACUCAGCAGUGAUUAACAUUAAGAAUAAUCGAAAGUUUGACUUAGCGACAGCCAAGAAGGGUCGGUUAAUUUCGUGCCAGCAACCGCGGUUAUACGAAAGACCCAAGUUGAUAGACGACGGCGUAAAGAGUGGCUAGAACAACUUUAUACUAGAGUCAAAAACCCCUUCUACCGCUGUCUAAAGCUCAAAGGGACAAAAAGAACUACUACGAAAGUGACUCUAACAACAUUUUAAUCCACGGAAGCUAGGACACAAACUGGGAUUAGAUACCCCACUAUGCCUUGCCGCAAACAAAGAUGAUUUUUUACGAUUCAUCCGCCAGGGGACUACGAGCUAUAGCUUAAAACCCAAAGGACUUGGCGGUGCUUUAGAUCCACCUAGAGGAGCCUGUCCUAGAAUCGAUGAUCCCCGUUCAACCUCACCCUCUCUUGCACAUCAGCCUAUAUACCUCCGUCGUCAGCUCACACUUUGAAGGUAAAAAAGUGGGCACAACUGGUACUACCCCAAACGUCAGGUCAAGGUGUAGCCCAUGGGAGGGGAAGAGAUGGGCUACAUUUGCUCCCACAGCACACUCACGGAAGGCUCGUUGAAAUUACGAACCCUAAGGAGGAUUUAGAAGUAAGCAGAGAAUAGAGUGCCCUGCUGAAACCGGCCCUGAAGCACGUACACACCGCCCGUCACCCUCGCCAACAAAACAUCGUUGUAAUAACUAAAAAGUCGUCAACAUUAAGGGGAGGUAAGUCGUAACAAGGUAAGUGUACCGGAAGGUGCACUUGGAACAACA
This 953-nucleotide non-coding RNA is filed under the name Trichonotus filamentosus. RNAcentral's name for it is "12S ribosomal RNA". It matches the Rfam family "Bacterial small subunit ribosomal RNA". The record is from RNAcentral. Lineage: Eukaryota; Metazoa; Chordata; Actinopteri; Gobiiformes; Trichonotidae.